This 248-nucleotide long non-coding RNA is filed under the name Mastacembelus armatus (zig-zag eel). RNAcentral's name for it is "lncRNA (ENSMAMG00000026907.1)". The record is from RNAcentral. Lineage: Eukaryota; Metazoa; Chordata; Actinopteri; Synbranchiformes; Mastacembelidae.
GCAGCAUGUCCUCAGACAUGCAGGUGCCGCGCAAUGAAGCGAACCACAAGAAGCCACCAGCAUGACAGCAUGAAAGCAGGGGCCAUGGCUACUAACCAUGAAGCUAGAGAGACACACCCAUCGCUUCCUUCUGUCAACAAAAUCAUCUGUGGUGCUGCACUGAACACACACUCACCGAGUAUGCCAUCCAGUAACGAGAAAGCCCAGCGGACCGCUUAACACCCACUAUUCCAUCUGAGUAGGAGGUG